RNAcentral lists this ribosomal RNA (465 nucleotides) under uncultured bacterium. RNAcentral's name for it is "partial 16S ribosomal RNA". It matches the Rfam family "Bacterial small subunit ribosomal RNA", at positions 28 to 507 of the family's 1533-position model. The record is from RNAcentral.
GACGAACGCUGGCGGCGUGCUUAACACAUGCAAGUCGUACGGUAAGGCCUUUUCGGGGGUACACGAGUGGCGAACGGGUGAAUAACACUUCCGUAACCUGCCCACCACCUUGGGAUAACGCCAGCAAAUUGGCGCUAAUACUGGGUAUGUACUCCGGCUGCAUGGUGGGGGUUGGAAAGCUCCGGCGGUUGUGGAUGGUCUCGCGGGCUAUUAGCUUGUUGGUGGGGUAGAGGCCUACCAAGGGGGCGACGGGUAGCCGGCCUGCGAGGGUGACCGGCCACAUUGGGACUGAGAGACGGCCCAGACACAUACGGGAGGGAGCAGGGGGGAGUAUUGCACAAUGGGUGCAAGACAGACGCAGCAACGCAGCGUGCGUGAUGACAGACUUCGUGUGGUAAGCCGCUUUCAGCAGGGACGGAGCAUUUUGUGACGGUACCUGCAGAAGAAGCACCGGCUAACUACGUG